UCUAGUGAGAGCGAUCCAUUUUCAGUUAAAAAAUCGCUGUCAAUAUCUCCGCCAAAUAUAUGAAGACUACGUUACAAAUUUGAAUUUGGGCAAUGGCAUCUAUGCCAUCAAAUUUUUUUGGACAAAAAAGAAAUUUCCAACGAAAUGGUGGAACAAAGGCCGUUGUUUCUAAGAAGUCAUACGGUGAAACAUUUUUGCAAAAUGAGUGGAAUCCUUGUCUUCGCUUGCAUAGGUGUUUCCUUUUAUAUGGUUGCCUUAUUUUAAUGAAUUCUGAUUCAGUUUGUUAAUUUGGAUUCAGAAGAAUAAACAAUUACUAAUGUUUGGUCGACAUAUCCAACUAUAAACAAUUACGAUAAGCUCCUCAAAGAGCCCUCAUUGUGGUCAAAUAAUAUUGCAAUAAUUUUGUGGUAAAUUUGUGUGCAGUUUUUUGUUGUUGCUUUUUUAUGGGAUCAAUGAUUUCGAACAUUUUCCCAGUCCGAAGGCAGAAAGUGAACGGUGAUUGUAAAAUAUUUGUGGGAUCGCAAUUGCUGCGGAGGAAUUAAGAACACCACAACACUCAACAACAACAACAAAACAAACCAACAGCAAAAAUCCAACAAAAAGUAGAAAACGGAUAAUAUAAAACGAGUUAUUCUUCUUCGUAUUUGCCAAUAGCAUGAAACAAACCAAUGACGACGACAACAACAAGAACAGCUUCCAUUGUGGCCCAACAAAUGGCAGCAUAGAAAUACAAAACGCGUUAACAGAUUGUGUUGCAAAUUGAGUGUAUUUGUCGUUGUGUUUGUGUGCGCUUUGUGUUUUCGGUUGAAAUCAAUAUUUAGUUUGUGUUUGAGAUUCCGGUUGCAGGCGAUAGCAACCGGAAACGGAAAUUUCAAUUUCAACAUACUUAUUGCUUAUAUCGAAGAAAGAUAGAUUGUUAGAUAGAGCAGAGCGAACUAAACCAUUUGUGGCAGUAAACUAAAAAGUUACCUUCGUUUGAAACAAAAUCCACUCCCAUUCUGACCACCGCAAUACCGAAAAGACCACAAAACAAAUCCAGGAACCACUGUAAAUGUCAAUACGGAAAUAGUGGAGAGCCAUUGAGAUUGGUGUAAUUAAAAAUCUCUCUAUUCCGGGAAAAAAGUAUUGCAAUAAGUUUUAUUUUGUUGUUUGUGGCCCAAAGUUUUUCGGACACAUAGUAUCCAUCCAUUGAAUUCGCCUGAGAGAGCAGCGUUAAUUGAAAAACUCAUUGAACUGUUAAGAAAUUUAUGUGGCAUUGCAGUGCCAUUAUCGCUGGAAUGUGAUUUGAUCAUCAUUUAAGCAGCUAAGCGAUACCUCAUUUCAAUUGAUGAGAAAUUUCUUGGAACAGCAUUGCGGAUUGACAAAAAGGUCAAGACGUGUGGAAUGCCAUCAAUUCGAACGAUGCGUAACCCAAUUUCACGCACACAAAUGUAUUUUUAAUGUGAAAUAAAAGGACGAAUAUUGACGAAUGGAAAUUAAAUCAGAAUAGGAUAUUAACACUGUGUGACAUUUGGACCAACACAAAAAUCUGUGGUCGGCAAAAGCAUUUCAAUCAUUUCAAGCUGAAAAGUUUGAGGCGGAUGUUUUCGAAGAAACGUGUCUGAAAU
Musca domestica (house fly) is the source of this 1607-nucleotide long non-coding RNA. RefSeq lists it as uncharacterized. The transcript is spliced from 3 exons. Lineage: Eukaryota; Metazoa; Arthropoda; Insecta; Diptera; Muscidae. The record is from RefSeq and is a predicted model, not a curated record.